CCUACGGGUGGCAGCAGUGGGGAAUAUUGCACAAUGGGGGAAACCCUGAUGCAGCGACGUCGCGUGAGUGAAGAAGUAUCUCGGUAUGUAAAGCUCUAUCAGCAGGGAAGAAAAUGACGGUACCUGAUUAAGAAGCCCCGGCUAACUACGAGCCAGCAGCCGUGGGAAUACGUAGGGGGCAAGCGUUAUCCGGAUUUACUGGGUGUAAAGGGAGCGUAGACGGGAGGACAAGUCAGGAGUGAAAUGCCGGGGCUUAACCCCGGAACUGCAUUGGAAACUGGGCAGCUAGAGUGCAGGAGAGGUAGGUGGAAUUCGUGGUGUAGCGGUGAAAUGCGUAGAUAUUAGGAAGAACACCGAUGGCGAAGGCGGCUUACUGGACUGUAACUGACGUUGAGGCUCGAAAGCGUGGGGAGCAAACAGGAUUAGAUACCCGGGUAGUC
This 440-nucleotide ribosomal RNA is filed under the name uncultured bacterium. RNAcentral describes it as "partial 16S ribosomal RNA". It matches the Rfam family "Bacterial small subunit ribosomal RNA", at positions 338 to 795 of the family's 1533-position model. The record is from RNAcentral.